Molecule: long non-coding RNA, 5074 nt
Filed under: Sus scrofa (pig)
Lineage: Eukaryota; Metazoa; Chordata; Mammalia; Artiodactyla; Suidae
Description: lncRNA (ENSSSCG00000053219.1)
Source: RNAcentral
GUAUAAAAACACAUAUAUAAAAGUUUCUUAUAAUCUUGAAAGGACAGGGUGGCAUGCUAUUUACUGACAGGCUGACCUUUUACACAAAGAACCUCCAUCUUCAACAAGCUGAAAUUACUGAUAUUGAUGCCUUCAGAACAUUGUCUGCUUCAGAAAGCAACAUGUUUUGUCCAAGUCAUACAGAACUGGCUAGAUGGACACCACUUGGUCAUCAAAUGAUGCAAUGCAAAGGGCAAGGGGACAUUUCUUCUGCAGUUCCAACCAUAUGUCUGAUACUGUGCAAGGAAAAAAAGGGAAAUGUCAAAUAUGAUUCCUGAUGUCAAGAAACUUAUAAUUUACUGGUCAAUUACCUACUACUUUAGCCCAGAGCCAUGUCCUACAUUUUUUGGAACCACCCCCAGCAUCUAACAUAGGACUUUAUCUAUAUCAACAAGAAGUUAGUAAAAAGUUAAAGUGACAAUAUAGAAUGCUUAGACUUAACUGAUAAAAUACAUGUUUAAAUAGAUGACCAAGAGAAAAGAUAAAGUUGAGCUUGUGUCAUUGCAAUCUAUGAAAAAAUCUUGUUAUUUUAAUUUUAUAUUUUUAUUUUGAGCAUGUAUUGACACAGGAAGGCUCCUGUUUCUACUCAUUGAAAUCUUUUUUUAACACACUUCUUUUUUUUUAAAAAAAAUAUUGGAGUAUAGUUGACUUACACUGUUGUAUUACUUUCAGGUAUACAGCAAAGUCAAUCAGUUAUAUAUGAAAAUAUACCCAUUCUUUUUUCCCCUAGAGGUUAUUACAGACUAGUAAGUAGAUUUUCCUAUGCUAUACAACAGGUUCUCAUUAAUCAUCUACUUUAUACACUAGUGUGUAUAUGUUAUCCCACCCUCCCAAUUCUUCCCUCUCUCCAGCAGUUUCACCUAUGGUAACCAUAAAAUGGUUUUAAAAUCUGUUUGUUUCCAUUUUAUAAAUAAGUUCUUUUGUAUCAUUUUUUAUUAGGUUCCACAUAUAAGUGAUACCAUAUUUCUUUUUGCCUUAUUUCAUUCAUUAAGAUAAUAUCUAGGUCCAUCCAUGUUGCUGCAAAUGGCAUUAUUUCAUUUUUUAUGGAUGAAUAAUACCCCAUUGUACAUAUGUACCACAUCUUCUUUAUCCAUUCCCCUGUAGAUGGACAUUUAGGUUGCUUCCAUGUCUUGGCUGUUGUAAAUAGUACUGCAAUGAACACUGGGGUGCCUGUAUCUUCUUGGGCUAUGGUUUUCUCUGGAUAGAUGCCCAGGAGUAGGACUGCUAGAUGAUAUGGUAGUACUAUAUUUAGUUUUUUAAGGAACCUUCAUACUGUCCUCCAUAGUUGUUGCACCAGCUUACAUUCCUACUUACAGUGUAGGAGGGUUCCCUUUCUCCACAUCCUCUCCAGCAUUUAUAGUUUCUAGUUUUUGUCCAUCUGUACAUCUUCUUAAUGUCAAUUUUUCUUAAAGGUAGGAAUUAGAGGUCAGGCCUAUCCUGUAUGGGGUAUCAAAAGUAGCUGAGUCCUUACCUGCACCCUUUUCCCUGGUAGCCAAGGCAAUAGCUUUUUUAAACAUGCAAAACUAUAGGUCAACCUGUUACUAAAACCCCUUCCCUCUUGGGUUCUUUGAUUUUAUAUUAAAAUGUUCCUUCCAUUUACUUAUCAAAAUAUUGAGCAAUUACUAUGUACUAGCAAUGUGUUCCUCUCUAUUACUUCUGAUUCCUUCACUAGCUCUUCAUUCUCUGCCCUACAACUCCCUCACUUUUUAACCCUUAUUCUAUUUUUCUUAUAAAUUAUACAUAUACUUAGAUAUAUGCAUAAUUCAUAUGUAUAUUAUAUAUAAGUAUAUAUAAUUUAUAUCUAUAUAGACAUAUAUACUUACCUUUCAGAAAGUAUAUCAGUUCUCUGAGGUUUCCAGCCUUUAGGCUAAUGUCUUCCAACUUACAUAUUCUGCACAUCCAGAUGGAAUGUUUCCUGCUACUGCUACACUCAUUGAUCAUUCCUUCUUAGUCUUUCCUGCUGGCAUCUCUUCCUCUGGGAAGUACUAGUUCUGAAAUUUUUUCAAAACUCUUAGUUUGUCUUUUCACUCUAUACUUUGUCCCUACACGAUUUCAUUUCCCUCUCCCUAUCAUCAAGUUUAAGGAUGGAUUUGCUUCUGUUCUUGCUCUUUUCAUGCUUUAGGUCUUCAUCAAGCCUGUUGCCCCUAUUUUUAUCUGGAUAAACCCUCUUCUUCCUGAAAUAUUGGCUUAAAAUCAUGUUCCUCAAGAAAGUAUUUAUUCUUUUUUCCAGACUAGGUUUGACAGCUCUGCUAUGUGACUUUAUUGCACCGUGUCCCUUUCUUUUGAAGUAUCUAUCAUCUCAAAUGAUCUGUUCAAUGGCAGUCCUGUCCGUUAGACUAGAUGUCAGUAAAUAAUAGCCCAUGGAUCAAAUCCAGCCCCUGGAUUUUGUAAAUAAAGUUUUAUUGGAAGCCAGACAUACUUUCACAUAUGUAUUGUUGGUAACUAUUUAUGUAUUGUUGAUGAUUGUUUUUGUGUUUCAAUGGCAAAGCUGAAUAGUUGUGAGAGAAACCACAUGGCCUGAAAGCCUAAAAUUUAUCUGCCUCUUUUCAGGAAAAGUUUGCCAAAAGUUGCACUGCACUAUAAGCAGGAAAGAUGAAAUCAUGCCUGUCAUUCUCACUUCUAUAUUCCCAGCACCUAGCAUGACACCUGGCACAUAACUAUUUCUGGACUAGGUGUACUAAUUGUAUUUCGACCUCAAGCUUUAACCCAUCUUGUCGGUGAUAUGAAUAAGAUCACAUUAACUGGCCUGUGUUUAAUAACAGCAUUAUAAUCACUGCUUAUCCAGAUGAUGAUUAUAGUAUUCCAGUCCAAGAGGGGUUCAGAAAUUAACCAAAUAAUACACAAACAAAUGGAUUGUUGCAACCAGAGGUAAACACUAUGGGAAAGAACACAGUACAAUUAGAGUGUGUAACAGAGACCCAUAAUCAAAUACAGAGUUUGGGAAGGCUUCCCUGAGGAAGUGACUUUUGACCUGAAAUUUGAAGAGUGAACUAACUGUGCAAAAAGAGGAGAGAAAGAGCAAAUCAGGUAGAAAGAAUAUCAUAUAUAAUUCUUUCUUCUUUGGAGAGAAAGAACAUUGCAUGUACUGGGAACUAAUGUUCUUGUCAAAUAAUGAACAUAAAGUAAGUUUCUUGAAAAGUUAAGGGUAGGAUCCAACAUGGACCUAAAUGCUAGGAUUUUAGGAUUAUAAUAAUGUAAAGUUUGAAGCAUUCUGUUUUUGGCCAACAGUAGGAAAAUGGUAAACUAUUAUAUUUCCAUAGCAGAGCAUAUUUUGCAUCCACUAGAAUAAUAUUUAUGAAGAAUUCUAAUUUGCAUGGGAAGUGUUCCUAUUAUAACGUAAAGUGGAAAAAAACAGGAUAUUAUUUCUACUAUGUAAUGUAUUUAUAGAAACAUUUUCUAGAAAAAAUGGACAAAAAUAUUAAUCAUUACUGCCUCUGGGUGGGAUUGAGUGUCCUGUAUUUUCUUUAUGGCUUCCCAUAUUAUUUAUCCUAUACAUUUAAAACCUUUUAAGAUUGAAGAAAUACAUUUUAUUAAAAAAAUAAGGAAAUACAAGUGUUGGUCUGAGAGUAAAUAGUCUUUCCUGGCCCCUGAAUGGGGAUGUAAAACGAGGAUCAAAACCCAGAAGAGUUCACUGUCAGUAACAAAGAUUAUUAGUGGAAGUUUUCCUGAAAUGUGGUUUAAGUGCGCUGGGGACUUUGGGGCCAGGGAAAACUACCCCGAGAUAUGCUGCACUAUAGACAUACUGCUUCUGAGAUUUUGUAUCUUGAUUAUUUAAAUUGGGAGCUCAAUCUAACCUUACUCUAUGUGCUUGGCUUCUUCCUGCCUAGCCACAAUCCAUCAGAAAUGCCCCAAUAUCAGUUCUGGAUUCAUAAUUUAAAUGAGGGUCCUGGAGAGCUCAAGCAUCAAUUCUAAUAUUACUCUAUUCUGAAAGCUUCUUUUUUGUUUCUCAAACAUCAUUUUUAAUUUAUAAGCUCAUUGGUCUCCCCCUUAAAACUAUUAUUGAUAAUUUAUAGAAGUGGAGGAGUUGAGAGUUGUUUUUUAAAAGUUUUGCUUCUCCCUGUAAGUAAUUAAUUCGUUUAAAAAGAACAGAGAGAAAUUCAGCUCUCACAAUGAUUGACUUCCCUUUAAUUUUUUUUUGUAAGAGACACAUAAACGUUGCUCUUUUAGUCAUAAAAUACUUUAUUAAUCAUUUAGGCAAUACAUAUUUAUGUGACUACCUAUACCCAAGCAGCUGCUAUGAAUAAACUGGGGGAAAGGUGCAUGAAAUCUUUUGAAAAUGAGCAGAGUUGAUGGCAAUUGCCUCCAGAGUCUGCUGCACUUACUUAGGGCUUCCUUAUCCCCUCUGGGAAGGAGUUUGUUUUCCAUGGUGGUUUCAUAGAGGCCAGACAACGGAUGAAGGGCUACGUAAAAAUUUUCCUUAGAUCAGGGGUUUUCAACCUACUAGAUACCAGUAGCACUCCUUCAGAUGUGAUAAUCAAAAAUAUGUUUCAUGAUAUUUUACCAAAUGUCCCCAGGGUGGGGGUGGGGCUGGGGCGGGGGAGGGGACUGCCUGGGUUGAGAACCACUGGACUAAUGCAUCAGACAUUUAUUCCUUAAGAAAAUUGAGUGCUAUGAUUGGUAAAAGAAAGGAAUAACACAAAGAAUACUUUGAAUUUCACUGAAUUUACUAAAAACUAAACAAAAGCAAUCAAAUAACUGAAUAAGGAGGAAAACAUGAACCUUGUCAAAUCACUAUGCUCCUCUGCCUAUUCCCUAGAUUAGAGAUGAAUGAACUGACAAGACAGGCUAUUUCCAUAACAGAAAUGACUAGCAUGUGUGUUGUAUACACACACCCCCACACCCUCACACCCCCACUCACACUUUUAAACUGAAGUAUAGUGGAUUUACAAUGUUGGUUAGUUUCUGGUGUACGGCAAAGUGAUUCAGCUAUACAUACAUACAUAUACCUGUAUACAUUUUAUAAGUAUGUGUUCUUUUUCAUAAUCUUUUCCACUACAAAAUAUUGAUUAUAGUUCCCUGUGCUAUACAGCAGGUU